This 253-nucleotide ribosomal RNA is filed under the name uncultured bacterium. RNAcentral's name for it is "partial 16S ribosomal RNA". It matches the Rfam family "Bacterial small subunit ribosomal RNA", at positions 524 to 776 of the family's 1533-position model. The record is from RNAcentral.
UACGAAGGGGGCUAGCGUUGUUCGGAUUUACUGGGCGUAAAGCGCACGUAGGCGGAUCGUUAAGUCGGGGGUGAAAUCCUGGAGCUCAACUCCAGAACUGCCUUUGAUACUGGCGAUCUCGAGUUCGGGAGAGGUGAGUGGAACUGCGAGUGUAGAGGUGAAAUUCGUAGAUAUUCGCAAGAACACCAGAGGCGAAGGCGGUUACCUGGACAGUUACUGACGCUCAGGCACGAAAGCGUGGGGAGCAAAAGGG